Non-coding RNA from Rattus norvegicus (Norway rat), 685 nucleotides. The record is from the annotation of a RefSeq genome assembly. NCBI's taxonomy places the organism in Eukaryota, Metazoa, Chordata, Mammalia, Rodentia, Muridae.
UUUUGUUGAGUCAAAGCAUCCUCAGAAGUUUGAGAGGCAGCAAGAUGUUGGCAGCCCACCUCCACCUCCUCCUUCUCCUAUGUUUCACAGUCUCCAAUGGGCAGAUCACGCUCACCCAGCAAGCAGAGUCCCUUUGGAUUUCUCCAGGAGAGAGAGUCUCCAUCACCUGCAGGGCCAGUCAGAGCCUCCUCUACACAGAUGGAAAGCACUACCUAUCUUGGUACCAGCAGAGACCAGGACAAACUACCAAGGCCCUCAUUUACCACGCUUCAGUCAGGACUGAUGGAGUCCCCACCAGGUUCAUUGGCAGCGGAUCUGGGACAGAAUUUACCCUUUCUAUUGAACAUGUCCAGCCUGAGGACUUUGCAAUUUAUUAUUGUCUUCAAACACUGAAGAGCCCUUCCACAGUGAUUGAGUCUUGAACAAUAACUGCCCAUGGGCCUGCUUCACCCACCUGCCUGGGACUCAGGGACUCCUCUGAGAGAAACAACUGGGGAGUCUGUGCAGACAGUGAAAACCAGCUUAAUGGCACAAACACAGACUACUACAUGGAGUUGUCUCAUCUGUUUAGUCUCCUGUGUGAUUUUCAGUGGCUUGCACAGAAAAGAUGUAAAAGACAUUGGAUCAAAUUUUAAAAAGCAGAAAAAAGCAGGCUGGAUUAGUACAUAUUCAUUCUCCCCCCUCC